UGGGGGAUAUUGCGCAAUGGGGGCAACCCUGACGCAGCAACGCCGCGUGAAGGAUGAAGGUUUUCGGAUUGUAAACUUCUUUUAUUAAGGACAAAAAAUGACGGUACUU
Molecule: ribosomal RNA, 109 nt
Filed under: uncultured bacterium
Lineage: Bacteria
Description: partial 16S rRNA
Rfam family: Bacterial small subunit ribosomal RNA
Source: RNAcentral